GUCUAUAGCCAUGCUACCCUGAACACACCAGAUCCCGUCUGAUCUCAGAAGCUAAGCAGGAUCCGGCCUGGUUAGUAUCUGGAUGGGAGAUCCCCCUAGGAAGAGCAGAUGCUGUAGGCA
Pteropus vampyrus (large flying fox) is the source of this 120-nucleotide ribosomal RNA. The record is from Ensembl. NCBI's taxonomy places the organism in Eukaryota, Metazoa, Chordata, Mammalia, Chiroptera, Pteropodidae.